Molecule: ribosomal RNA, 253 nt
Filed under: uncultured bacterium
Lineage: Bacteria
Description: partial 16S ribosomal RNA
Rfam family: Bacterial small subunit ribosomal RNA
Source: RNAcentral
UACGUAGGGGGCAAGCGUUGUCCGGAUUUAUUGGGCGUAAAGAGCGUGUAGGCGGCCUGGUAGGUCAGCUGUGAAAACUCGAGGCUCAACCUCGAGACGCCGGUUGAAACCAUCAGGCUAGAGUCCGGAAGAGGAGAGUGGAAUUCCCGGUGUAGCGGUGAAAUGCGCAGAUAUCGGGAAGAACACCCGUGGCUAAGGCGGCUCUCUAGUACGGUACUGACGCUGAGACACGAAAGCGUGGGGAGCGAACAGG